Long non-coding RNA from Drosophila pseudoobscura, 1350 nucleotides. RefSeq lists it as uncharacterized. The record is from RefSeq and is a predicted model, not a curated record. Lineage: Eukaryota; Metazoa; Arthropoda; Insecta; Diptera; Drosophilidae. The transcript is spliced from 4 exons.
GGCUUACAACACUGAACUCAACAACACAGCUGAGUAGAGUGGCCAAGCCUGCUGAUAUUCUUCGUUUCGUUUUGUAUUUACUUUCGUGUUAAAUUCGUUGAGUGAUUGCUCUGGAUUUGGCGAGAACUGUUUCAUCACGGUAUACACACGGACCUCAAUCCCUCGAUGGUGGAAUACAAAGGCAACAGUUGAGAUCGAAGGAAAUUCUUUGCUCCAAAGCCGUGCCCUCGGCCUACAUUCAGGUGCAAGAUUUCAAAGAACACGUCCUUGCUAAAAGUCAUAUAGUCAAUAUGUCCUACAUAAGACGGCUGUAAUACGGAUGUACAGGGAUGACCGGGACCUAUAUGAUUCCAUUCAAGAUUCCAAACGAAACCAAUGUGAUUUGGUGUUCGUUGUAGAACAAAUUUCGGGACGCCACCCAGUGUGGUGGGGGUUGGCUGCCUCCCAUAAUCCUUUCGGGGCUUCAUACGACAUGCAAUAUCACUUGCAAGCCUCUGCCCUGGAGGAUAUCGGGGUAAUGGAGUCAUCAGUUCUGGAAGUGCUAUUCCGAGCACAUUGUCUCUUAUCGUGACGGUGUCAGCGAUGGUCAGAAUAAUGUGUUGAGGGGAAUUUCUGCGGCCUGCAGCAAGAUGCACACUAAUCGCAGGAUGUAUCACACGGCUUCUUUCCCAACUGGCCUUCUAUCUCAGCACAAUGGAUAUAACAAUGCGGAUCCGGCGAUCAGCGUACCAAUGUCCACACCAAUGAAACGCAGUUCUUUCUGGCUGGGACGGGCAACCUGUAUAUUGAUCUCCUACAGCAAUUGAUGUACAAUCUAUGUCACAUGUUUCCACGUUGCUACCGCGCCGAAUCGUAUCCGGACUCGCGCCAAAAAUCCACCAAGCUGAUGCCCAGAGUCACCCAGCAAUAAAAGAAAUGUUGCCUCUGGUUUUGAAGCCACAAAAUCCAUCAACAUUUUUUGCCUGACUUCCACAAAUGAGGUGCUGUCCUACUUAUCAUAUCUAAGGCCUAAUGAGCAGAAUUGAAAUUACCCACAUAAACGGAUAUAAAUAUGUUACAUUUAAAUUCGACAUGCCAAGGAUCUCUGGGAUGUGUGUGCUAGAUGUAGAUGCUUGUAGGAAAUUCCCUGGACUUGUUAGCCUCUGCAUCGAUAGAUGUCGGGUUCUGCAUUCAGGCCAUUAACAAUUCAUUGUAGAUUUUAGCUUUGUUUUCUGUUCCUGACUUUUAACACAGGAUAUGAGUAUUAUAUUACGUAAAUUUAGAAAAUGCACUUUAUGUUUUAGAGAUAAACAUUUUCAUUUCGAAAUUCCUUCAAAGGCAAAUAUUAUUUUAAGCAAUUUUCUUCGCACA